GGUUAAGCGACUAAGCGUACACGGUGGAUGCCCUGGCAGUCAGAGGCGAUGAAGGACGUGCUAAUCUGCGAUAAGCGUCGGUAAGGUGAUAUGAACCGUUAUAACCGGCGAUUUCCGAAUGGGGAAACCCAGUGUGAUUCGUCACACUAUCAUUAACUGAAUCCAUAGGUUAAUGAGGCGAACCGGGGGAACUGAAACAUCUAAGUACCCCGAGGAAAAGAAAUCAACCGAGAUUCCCCCAGUAGCGGCGAGCGAACGGGGAGCAGCCCAGAGCCUGAAUCAGUGUGUGUGUUAGUGGAAGCGUCUGGAAAGGCGUGCGAUACAGGGUGACAGCCCCGUACACAAAAAUGCACAUAUUGUGAGCUCGAUGAGUAGGGCGGGACACGUGGUAUCCUGUCUGAAUAUGGGGGGACCAUCCUCCAAGGCUAAAUACUCCUGACUGACCGAUAGUGAACCAGUACCGUGAGGGAAAGGCGAAAAGAACCCCGGCGAGGGGAGUGAAAAAGAACCUGAAACCGUGUACGUACAAGCAGUGGGAGCACGCUUAGGCGUGUGACUGCGUACCUUUUGUAUAAUGGGUCAGCGACUUAUAUUCUGUAGCAAGGUUAACCGAAUAGGGGAGCCGAAGGGAAACCGAGUCUUAACUGGGCGUUAAGUUGCAGGGUAUAGACCCGAAACCCGGUGAUCUAGCCAUGGGCAGGUUGAAGGUUGGGUAACACUAACUGGAGGACCGAACCGACUAAUGUUGAAAAAUUAGCGGAUGACUUGUGGCUGGGGGUGAAAGGCCAAUCAAACCGGGAGAUAGCUGGUUCUCCCCGAAAGCUAUUUAGGUAGCGCCUCGUGAAUUCAUCUCCGGGGGUAGAGCACUGUUUCGGCAAGGGGGUCAUCCCGACUUACCAACCCGAUGCAAACUGCGAAUACCGGAGAAUGUUAUCACGGGAGACACACGGCGGGUGCUAACGUCCGUCGUGAAGAGGGAAACAACCCAGACCGCCAGCUAAGGUCCCAAAGUCAUGGUUAAGUGGGAAACGAUGUGGGAAGGCCCAGACAGCCAGGAUGUUGGCUUAGAAGCAGCCAUCAUUUAAAGAAAGCGUAAUAGCUCACUGGUCGAGUCGGCCUGCGCGGAAGAUGUAACGGGGCUAAACCAUGCACCGAAGCUGCGGCAGCGACACUAUGUGUUGUUGGGUAGGGGAGCGUUCUGUAAGCCUGUGAAGGUGUACUGUGAGGUAUGCUGGAGGUAUCAGAAGUGCGAAUGCUGACAUAAGUAACGAUAAAGCGGGUGAAAAGCCCGCUCGCCGGAAGACCAAGGGUUCCUGUCCAACGUUAAUCGGGGCAGGGUGAGUCGACCCCUAAGGCGAGGCCGAAAGGCGUAGUCGAUGGGAAACAGGUUAAUAUUCCUGUACUUGGUGUUACUGCGAAGGGGGGACGGAGAAGGCUAUGUUGGCCGGGCGACGGUUGUCCCGGUUUAAGCGUGUAGGCUGGUUUUCCAGGCAAAUCCGGAAAAUCAAGGCUGAGGCGUGAUGACGAGGCACUACGGUGCUGAAGCAACAAAUGCCCUGCUUCCAGGAAAAGCCUCUAAGCAUCAGGUAACAUCAAAUCGUACCCCAAACCGACACAGGUGGUCAGGUAGAGAAUACCAAGGCGCUUGAGAGAACUCGGGUGAAGGAACUAGGCAAAAUGGUGCCGUAACUUCGGGAGAAGGCACGCUGAUAUGUAGGUGAAGUCCCUCGCGGAUGGAGCUGAAAUCAGUCGAAGAUACCAGCUGGCUGCAACUGUUUAUUAAAAACACAGCACUGUGCAAACACGAAAGUGGACGUAUACGGUGUGACGCCUGCCCGGUGCCGGAAGGUUAAUUGAUGGGGUCAGCGCAAGCGAAGCUCUUGAUCGAAGCCCCGGUAAACGGCGGCCGUAACUAUAACGGUCCUAAGGUAGCGAAAUUCCUUGUCGGGUAAGUUCCGACCUGCACGAAUGGCGUAAUGAUGGCCAGGCUGUCUCCACCCGAGACUCAGUGAAAUUGAACUCGCUGUGAAGAUGCAGUGUACCCGCGGCAAGACGGAAAGACCCCGUGAACCUUUACUAUAGCUUGACACUGAACAUUGAGCCUUGAUGUGUAGGAUAGGUGGGAGGCUUUGAAGUGUGGACGCCAGUCUGCAUGGAGCCGACCUUGAAAUACCACCCUUUAAUGUUUGAUGUUCUAACGUUGACCCGUAAUCCGGGUUGCGGACAGUGUCUGGUGGGUAGUUUGACUGGGGCGGUCUCCUCCUAAAGAGUAACGGAGGAGCACGAAGGUUGGCUAAUCCUGGUCGGACAUCAGGAGGUUAGUGCAAUGGCAUAAGCCAGCUUGACUGCGAGCGUGACGGCGCGAGCAGGUGCGAAAGCAGGUCAUAGUGAUCCGGUGGUUCUGAAUGGAAGGGCCAUCGCUCAACGGAUAAAAGGUACUCCGGGGAUAACAGGCUGAUACCGCCCAAGAGUUCAUAUCGACGGCGGUGUUUGGCACCUCGAUGUCGGCUCAUCACAUCCUGGGGCUGAAGUAGGUCCCAAGGGUAUGGCUGUUCGCCAUUUAAAGUGGUACGCGAGCUGGGUUUAGAACGUCGUGAGACAGUUCGGUCCCUAUCUGCCGUGGGCGCUGGAGAACUGAGGGGGGCUGCUCCUAGUACGAGAGGACCGGAGUGGACGCAUCACUGGUGUUCGGGUUGUCAUGCCAAUGGCACUGCCCGGUAGCUAAAUGCGGAAGAGAUAAGUGCUGAAAGCAUCUAAGCACGAAACUUGCCCCGAGAUGAGUUCUCCCUGACUCCUUGAGAGUCCUGAAGGAACGUUGAAGACGACGACGUUGAUAGGCCGGGUGUGUAAGCGCAGCGAUGCGUUGAGCUAACCGGUACUAAUGAACCGUGAGGCUUAACCUU
RNAcentral lists this ribosomal RNA (2903 nucleotides) under Escherichia coli. Its description in RNAcentral is "23S ribosomal RNA". It matches the Rfam family "Bacterial large subunit ribosomal RNA". Lineage: Bacteria; Pseudomonadati; Pseudomonadota; Gammaproteobacteria; Enterobacterales; Enterobacteriaceae. The record is from RNAcentral.